GUGCUGGUGCACCGAACUGCUUUCCUCACGUUCGAUCAGUGAUUGCUCCACGUUCUAAUGUUGGAUGCAAAGAGGGGGGUUCCUGUGUUGCCUACCUAUCGAGAUGGAAAUCGGUUGCCUUCUUUGUGCCUUUCGUCCUCGCGUCCCGCUGGACGUUCGGAUGGACUAGACGGGAGGGCUCGUGUUCCACGGACAUCUCGCACGAUCGUUCUCUGAUGGACCACGAGCGACUUCUUGUUCUCUCGGAUGCGGAAAGUCCCUAAUGGGCGUGGGUCAUUGGCCUUCUGUCCCGAAUCUAUCUGUAAGCGAUCAUCGCUUUACAUGGCAAUGAAUGACGCUCUCGCCACGUCUUCGACCACGCGGAUCUCUCGGGCUCUCGCGAUGGAUCGUGCGGGGCGGACGUCGGGAAGGAAUGC
This 416-nucleotide unclassified non-coding RNA is filed under the name Leptospermopsis sericea. RNAcentral's name for it is "Leptospermum sericeum partial external transcribed spacer". The record is from RNAcentral. Lineage: Eukaryota; Viridiplantae; Streptophyta; Magnoliopsida; Myrtales; Myrtaceae.